AUCUUUGAAUAUAAAAAAUAAAGGUCGAAGCAAGACUUUUUGAUUCCCUUCUACUGCUAAUGUAAUGUAUACUCAUUGGGUCUUAAAUUACAUCGGAUAGCCGGGGGAGAAUUCAACUACUAGUUAGGUAAAGUCCUUUCUAUACUGUAAUCUACAUAUAUAGACUCGCGAGAAUCUCUGAGUGUUCAGGCAUUCAAUCACUAUUAGAUUGAGAUUGGAUAGAUUUUUUAUAGAAAAAGUAAAAAAAAAUACCCCCCCGUCAAGAGUAUAAUAUACUAUCUCCCAACUCCUUCAGCUAGACAAUCGCGAGGGGGUACGCAUUAUAUCAAUAUCAAAUAGGAAAUAAAAGUAUGUAAUAGAUAACAAUUGAUCUAUUUUUACUUUGAAGGGCAAAAAAAAAAGAAAGGGCUCUCUUAUUUUAUUACUGGACGUUCCAUUCCAUUAGUAACAUUCCUUUGUAGUGUCAUUGUGUAUUUUACUUGUGUUUAGUCUUUCCACAUUAGAAAUCAUAUAGGAAUUUUUGAAAUGGCUUUAUUUUMUUGGUUSAUCAAUAGUG
RNAcentral lists this unclassified non-coding RNA (556 nucleotides) under Senecio meyeri-johannis. RNAcentral's name for it is "partial trnC-petN intergenic spacer". Lineage: Eukaryota; Viridiplantae; Streptophyta; Magnoliopsida; Asterales; Asteraceae. The record is from RNAcentral.